Macrobrachium nipponense is the source of this 380-nucleotide long non-coding RNA. RefSeq lists it as uncharacterized. Lineage: Eukaryota; Metazoa; Arthropoda; Malacostraca; Decapoda; Palaemonidae. The transcript is spliced from 3 exons. The record is from RefSeq and is a predicted model, not a curated record.
GGCGUCGAAUUCAAGGAGGUGUUUACUUUCGGGCCCGCGUCAUCCGUCCCCGCAGAGGAGGUCGUGGGCUGGUGGAGUCCGGGGAGACCGGAGGAAACUCACAUCCCCUACAGAGGAGACCUGGCCGUGCCCAGCGAUUUCCGGGGCAAUGUCGUCAGGAUCGUCAUUUUAGAGAUAAUGCCUUAUAUAACUUAUAAGAAGACACCGGUGGGAAAGUUGGAAGCUGAUGGAUAUGUUACUGAACUGUGCCUUCUCCUUGCGCAAGAACUGAAUUUUACGAUCGAGUGGGUCGAGUCCCCCGACGGUGAGUUUGGCAUCUCUGACGACAACGGCACCUUCACGGGCGUGGUUGGUGUGUUGCAGCGGAAGGUAGUUUCCUC